This is a long non-coding RNA of Lycium barbarum (goji berry), 1375 nucleotides long. RefSeq lists it as uncharacterized. Lineage: Eukaryota; Viridiplantae; Streptophyta; Magnoliopsida; Solanales; Solanaceae. The record is from RefSeq and is a predicted model, not a curated record. The transcript is spliced from 3 exons.
UUUUUUUCUUCAACACCAAACGACUCCUAAAUGAGAGAAACCCUCGCCACCGUGGUUUGACCCACUCUCUCUCAUCGUCAUCGGCCAUUUUUGGCAAACCUACAGUGUACGAGUACAUUUUACAGAGGUGGUUCAACCAUUUGAGGCAAGCAUUUAAUGCUUUGCCUCUUCUCUCCACCAUAUCACAACCAAACGAGGUAUUAAUUCUCCCUUUCUUUGCUUUUUUGCUAUUUUCAACGGUCAUAAGACUGAGAAACCUUAAUGGGUUUUGUUGUAUUCGUUUGAAUCCACGAUUUUUAUUGGUUUAUGAAAAACCCCACGGAUUGACCAAUUCAGAGUCAAAUCCGACCCUUUAUUUGCUUGUAUGAUCAAUUCUCAGCCAUUGGAUGUGGUAUUGAGAGAUGCAAUUCUCAAAUUGUUAAACUCCCAUAUCGAAAAUGAUCUACGGUUUUGAGAUUUUAGGGUUCUAUCCAAUUCACAAUAUUACACAACCUCUGAGCAUACUGAAAUAUCAGAAAUAUACUCAAAAUAUCGAAUUACCUUGGAUUUCUAUUUUUGGGACCUUUAAUUAUUCGAUUUAGUUAAAGUUUAAAAUUUUAAUUGCUUUCCUUGUGUGUGGUUGAGUUCGGGUGGAGAAGAAAGGAUUCUUCAAGUCCAUUCUCGACGUUGGCUGCACUCAUAAAAGACACUAAUCCUUGCACUAGUGGAGCUCAAGAGUGGGCUUCAGAGUUGUUUGGAGAAUUCAGGAGACGUGCAUUUGUGGUUGAUGGGAGCUUGUACCAAUGGAGUUGAUUUCACUACUUUCAACUAAAGGGUUAGACUAGCCAAUGAUGGAGGAGUUAUGUACAAACCAGGCCAACAGAGCCUCUUCCUCUUACCUGGGCACAGUUCAAACAUCUCUUCCUUAAGAAGUUUAUUCCAACCAACAGGAGGAACAAGUUGAGGGGUCAGUUCGAGCACUUGCACCGGGAAGACAUACAUGACUGUCAUUGAGUAUGAGAUGAGUUUAACUGAGAUAUCAUGUUAUGAUAUUUCUAGAAACUUUCUCAGCAGGUAUAAUGACGGGCAAGUCAAUGAUCUUGCUGGGUUUAGACUUACCCUUAUUAUUGUUUCUAUUUUGCACGGAUCCUUGUAUUAGUACUGCAAUAGAUCUGAGCCAUUUUGAUCUAGUUCGAGGUAGUAGUUGUGUUUUGCUAAGGUGAGCCAACUGCUUCUUGUUCGUGGUGGUGACUAUCAGUUUACUUUUCUUUGAUUUCUCUGUUGUCGGGGAUACCCCUUAGUUAUACUCAGGUACUCCUAGAUGCUACUUGACAUUACUACUGGGUUUUGAGUAUAUUCAGACUGUUAUUUUCUAGCUUUUCGCUUGAUGAUGAUA